UGACAAGAAUAAACUUAUAUAUAUAGAUACAGCAGCAGCCCCACUCGUAUAGGGUCUGGGGCAACAAUAAUUACCUCGUUCAGCUGCUGCAGCAGCACCACUCCUAUGGUUGAGGACAAGAAUAAUGACCUGAUUCAGCAGCAGCACCGCAACUUCUACAUAGACGUGGGAGGGACAAGAAUAAACUGGCUGGGACAAGUAUUAACACCCUGCUACAAUAGCAGCACCACGACUUUUCCCCGUUUCAAUCAUGUCAUUGCUACUAUCCCCAUUGGUACUACUAGUAUUAUUCUUCAGUAUCUCACUCCAAACUUGCCAAGCCAAUUCCCAGUGUAUCAAGGGCUGUGACUUAGCUUUAGCAAACUACUAUGUCUGGGAAGGCUUAACCACGGCCUUCCUUUCCCAACUUUUCAGCAUCCCAGUUUCUACUAUUAACUCCUGGAAUCCAGUUAAUUCCCCGGACCAGUAUAUAGUCCAAGCCAAGACAAGAAUAAACAUCCCUUUUACUUGUGACUGCAUCAAUGGAGAUUUCUGGCUCAUAUCUUCAGUUACAAUGUUUCACAGGGGGACACGUAUGAUUUAAUUGCAAAUACUUAUUAUUCUAAUUUGACUAGUUCUACUGGCCUGCAGAGAUGGAAUAGAUAUCCAGGAAAUGCAAUCCCGGUUAAUAGUGUCCUGAAUGUGACCGUUAAUUGUUCUUGUGGGGAUAAGGCAAUUUCCAAGGAUUAUGGAUUGUUUGUAACUUGGCCCAUAAGGGACGGAGAUACUUUGGACUCUGUGGCUGCUGCAAACAAUUUGAGUGCUGAUGUUGUCAGGAGAUAUAAUCCAACAGCUAGUUUUAAUGAAGAAGGUCAUCAGUUAUUCAUUCCAGGAAAAGAUGAAAGUGGAAGCUAUCGGCCUUUGAGUUCAGGAUCAGGAUUGUCUGCUGGAGCUAUUGCUGGGAUAUCUGUGGCAGUUCCGGGACUGCUGUUCUUUGCUGCUGCUUGCUUGUAUUUUGUGGUUGACAGAAUGAGGAAGGCACUCAAAAUAUCUCCUAAAGAUCAAUUUAAGCGAGCUGCUUCG
This is a non-coding RNA of Coffea arabica (coffee), 1062 nucleotides long. NCBI's taxonomy places the organism in Eukaryota, Viridiplantae, Streptophyta, Magnoliopsida, Gentianales, Rubiaceae. The record is from RefSeq and is a predicted model, not a curated record.